Molecule: ribosomal RNA, 497 nt
Filed under: uncultured bacterium
Lineage: Bacteria
Description: partial 16S ribosomal RNA
Rfam family: Bacterial small subunit ribosomal RNA
Source: RNAcentral
GACGAACGCUGGCGGCGUGCCUAAUACAUGCAAGUUGAGCGCUGAAGGUUGGUACUUGUACCAACUGGAUGAGCAGCGAACGGGUGAGUAACGCGUGGGGAAUCUGCCUUUGAGCGGGGGACAACAUUUGGAAACGAAUGCUAAUACCGCAUAAAAACUUUAAACACAAGUUUUAAGUUUGAAAGAUGCAAUUGCAUCACUCAAAGAUGAUCCCGCGUUGUAUUAGCUAGUUGGUGAGGUAAAGGCUCACCAAGGCGAUGAUACAUAGCCGACCUGAGAGGGUGAUCGGCCACAGUGGGACUGAGACACGGCCCAAACGCCUACGGGAGGCAGCAGUAGGGAAUCGUCGGCAAUGGACGAAAGUCUGACCGAGCAACGCCGCGUGAGUGAAGAAGGUUUUCGGAUCGUAAAACUCUGUUGGUAGAGAAGAACGUUGGUGAGAGUGGAAAGCUCAUCAAGUGACGGUAACUACCCAGAAAGGGACGGCUAACUACGUG